UGAUUUUUCAAUUGGGCGUUC
This 21-nucleotide non-coding RNA is filed under the name Caenorhabditis elegans. The record is from RNAcentral. Lineage: Eukaryota; Metazoa; Nematoda; Chromadorea; Rhabditida; Rhabditidae.